This 424-nucleotide unclassified non-coding RNA is filed under the name soil metagenome. RNAcentral describes it as "partial contains 5.8S ribosomal RNA, internal transcribed spacer 2, and large subunit ribosomal RNA". The stretch from base 1 to 120 matches the Rfam family "5.8S ribosomal RNA", at positions 35 to 154 of the family's 154-position model. The record is from RNAcentral.
GAUGAAGAACGUAGCGAAAUGCGAUACGUAAUGUGAAUUGCAGAAUUCAGUGAAUCAUCGAAUCUUUGAACGCAUAUUGCGCUCUCUGGUAUUCCGGAGAGCAUGCUUGUUUGAGUAUCAGUAAACACCUCAACUCCCUUUCUUCUUGAAAUGGAGCCGGACUUGAGUGAUCCCAACGCUUUAUUCAUAAAGUGGCGGGUUACUUGAAAUGCAGGUGCAGCUGGACUUUUCUCUGAGCUAUAAGCAUAUCUAUUUAGUCUGCCUCAAAACAGAUUAUUACCUUUGCUGCAGCUAACAUAAAGGAGAUUAGUUCUUGUGCUGACUGAUGCAGGAUUCACAAAGACCGCUUCGGCUGUCUUUGUAAACUCGAUCUCAAAUCAAGUAAGACUACCCGCUGAACUUAAGCAUAUCAAUAAGCGGAGGA